AGGCGUCAUUUGCUUGUGA
Molecule: unclassified non-coding RNA, 19 nt
Filed under: Chlamydomonas reinhardtii
Lineage: Eukaryota; Viridiplantae; Chlorophyta; Chlorophyceae; Chlamydomonadales; Chlamydomonadaceae
Description: small RNA Cre_0560
Source: RNAcentral